UACGUAGGGUGCAAGCGUUAUUCGGAAUUACUGGGCGUAAAGCGUGCGCAGGCGGUGAUGCAAGUCAGAUGUGAAAUCCCCGGGCUCAACCUGGGAACUGCAUUUGUGACUGCAUCGCUGGAGUACGGGAGAGGGGGGUGGAAUUCCGCGUGUAGCAGUGAAAUGCGUAGAUAUGCGGAGGAACACCGAUGGCGAAGGCAAUCCCCUGGGCCUGUACUGACGCUCAGGCACGAAAGCGUGGGGAGCAAACAGG
This 253-nucleotide ribosomal RNA is filed under the name uncultured bacterium. Its description in RNAcentral is "partial 16S ribosomal RNA". It matches the Rfam family "Bacterial small subunit ribosomal RNA", at positions 524 to 776 of the family's 1533-position model. The record is from RNAcentral.